This 618-nucleotide ribosomal RNA is filed under the name uncultured Methanosarcinales archaeon. RNAcentral describes it as "bacterial SSU rRNA". It matches the Rfam family "Archaeal small subunit ribosomal RNA", at positions 27 to 650 of the family's 1478-position model. Lineage: Archaea; Methanobacteriati; Methanobacteriota; Methanomicrobia; Methanosarcinales. The record is from RNAcentral.
CUGCUUGAGAUCGAUUAGCCAUGCGAGUUGAAUGUUCUUCGUGAACAUGGCGGACUGCUCAGUAACACGUGGACAACCUACCCUUGGAUCUGGGAUAAACCCGGGAAACUGGGCAUAAUACCGGAUAAGCCACAUAUGCUGGAAUGCUUUGUGGCUCAAAGCUCCGGCGUCCAAGGAUGGGUCUGCGGCCUAUCAGGGUAGUAGUGGGUGUAAUGUACCUACUAGCCUACGACGGGUACGGGUUGUGAGAGCAAGAGCCCGGAGAUGGAUUCUGAGACACGAAUCCAGGCCCUACGGGGUGCAGCAGGCGCGAAAACUUUACAAUGCGGGAAACCGCGAUAAGGGAAUCUCGAGUGCCAGCAUAUAAUGUUGGCUGUCCAGAUGCCUAAAAAGCAUUUGUUAGCAAGGGCCGGGCAAGACCGGUGCCAGCCGCCGCGGUAACACCGGCGGCCCGAGUGGUAACCGUUAUUAUUGGGUCUAAAGGGUCUGUAGCCGGCCGAAUAAGUCUCUUGGGAAAUCUGGCAGCUUAACUGUCAGGCAGUCAGGGGAUACUGUUCGGCUUGGGACCGGGAGAGGUGAGAGGUACCUCGGGGGUAGGGGUGAAAUCUUGUGAUCCUC